GAAAUGCGAUAAGUAAUGUGAAUUGCAGAAUUCAGUGAAUCAUCGAAUCUUUGAACGCACAUUGCGCCCGCCAGUAUUCUGGCGGGCAUGCCUGUUCGAGCGUCAUUACAACCCUCAGGCCCCCGGGCCUGGCGUUGGGGAUCGGCGGAAGCCCCCUGCGGGCACAACGCCGUCCCCCAAAUACAGUGGCGUUCCCGCCGCAGCUUCCAUUGCGUAGUAGCUAACACCUCGCAACUGGAGAGCGGCGCGGCCACGCCGUAAAACACCCAACUUCUGAAUGUUGACCUCGAAUCAGGUAGGAAUACCCGCUGAACUUAAGC
Molecule: unclassified non-coding RNA, 320 nt
Filed under: plant metagenome
Description: partial contains 5.8S ribosomal RNA, internal transcribed spacer 2, and large subunit ribosomal RNA
Rfam family: 5.8S ribosomal RNA (bases 1-105)
Source: RNAcentral